Molecule: long non-coding RNA, 2435 nt
Organism: Meriones unguiculatus (Mongolian gerbil)
Lineage: Eukaryota; Metazoa; Chordata; Mammalia; Rodentia; Muridae
Exons: 4
Source: RefSeq, a predicted model, not a curated record
GAAAGUUUCUCCUGAGGUCAGCUGAUUUCCUCCUGUUCGGAAAGGACAUUCCAGGCAAGUGAAGACCAUGACGUCACUCUCUGUGUCCCUGGUGAGCGAAUGAAACGCUUCGCAGCUGAAACCAUCCAGGAUCGCUGUGGACUUUGAAACAGCUGGGCGUCUUCACCUGCGCUUGCUCACUGCUGAGGUGUGUUUGGGAUUAGAGGCAGCCUGCCUGGGUUCCUGCGGGAGCAUUCUGGUUCUGGCUGCCUUUCCUCCUUCACCCUCGCUCCGUCUGACCAUGGAUAAAAAGGAAUUCCAGGAAAGGUGGAACACUUUCUUUGCACUGGCCGAGUGUUGCAGGCACUGACAGUCCCUCUGCUAAUCCUGGCACUGCUGUCUUCUCUUCAUAAGCCAGUGACAAAGGCCAGCAAGGGAAGGAAAGGCUUGUGAAGUCCAGAGGAGAGUGACAGAGCCAGCCUUCACCCAGCUGUGGGGGACAUGUCCUUCAUUAGUGCGUAAUUGGCUCAUCUGGUCAACCCACGGUCCACGUCUUCUUUUGGAAGUCCGGAGCAUCUGGUCUUCCCUCAGCUGUCACAGCCUGCUCCCACGGACGCUGGAACUCGUGGUGAUGGGGUGGCAGGCCAGCUUUACGCCUGACUCCCACUGCGCCCACAGCAGGGCCGGGGGUAAGGCAGGCCGGUACCUCCUUUGUUAACUCUGUCUUCAGACUGUCACCGGGCUUAGCCCAACAUUGUUUUUGUGCUUCCAACAUCAACAGGACAAGGGCCUAUGAAACAUGUCUUUAAAGUGUGUCGUGGUAGUUUUCUGCUGAUGUCAUGUGACCGAUAGGAGGUAAGCUGUGCUCUCAGGGAGAGAGGAUCUGGACACCAGAAAGACCAGGGUCCACUCUUAGAGCUGACAAUCUGCAGUUCUCCUGCUUCUGUGGCCCUAGCCCUGUGGCCCCUCCCACUCUCUGGUGGACUGCCCACCUUCUCCACCCUCUGGGGUGUGCGCAGAAACCAAGAGUCCAGACACAGCAACGCUCUUUCUACACGUGUCUUGGUGUGUGCCUGGGGAGCAGUGGCCUAAGAAGAGGCAGUUAGUCAAGAUCCUGCCCGGGCACUGUCAUGUUCUGCAGUUGGUUUGGGGCCUGGAGUGCCUGGUGGGAUGCCUGGGGAAGGGAGAGCAGUGUGGGACAGAGGCUCAUACAUUUAGGUUGUAGGCCUGUGAGCCUGUGAGCUUCCUUCAAGAAAAUGUUUGCACAGAGCCCGACAGCGAUUCUUGUGUAAGAACCAAGCUGAGGAGCUUGUGAUUGGAGAACCCCAUGUGCUACCAGACACCCAGACCUGGUGUAAGAGAAGGAGAGGUGAUGGCAAAGUGUCAGGCAAACAGCAGGAGCAUCAGUGUGACGGAAUCAAGGCCGACGUCAGGGUCAUCGGCACAGGAGAUGUGGAGAGGAACGGGGAAAGGAGGGGCAGGUUGGAGAGGAAGCCAGGGACGUGAACACCUCUACCACCAACCACCGGGGGUUCACAGAGGUGCCGGGGAGCCCUGUGACGCACACCACCAGCAGAUGUCCUGGGCACAGACUCUACGCGCCUGGAAGGAACUCUCCCAUCCCCAUUUUCUACUCUGUCAUGAUUCUCCUCUUGUGGAACUGUUAGCAGAUUAAGAAUGAGAAAUUGUUAGCAGAUUAAGAAAGCGCGCGCACACACGCACACACACACACACACACACACACACACACACACACACGGAAGUACAAGUCCAGUGAGAAGACUUUCAGGUCCCACCAAGGAUGCCAAAGAGAAUGGAGCAGCUGCCUGAGCUGCUUCCUCUGCUCCUGGGAGACAGCAAGUCAAGAUGCGGGCUCUGCUGUGGGGUGGGAGGAGCUUGGGAGAUCUGCUUGAGAAACUGGGCCCUCCUCUCUGCCUCCCAGCUUCUGCACCAAGUAGGGCAAUGGUGAUGUAGCUGGCAAUGAUCUGGCUUCCCAGAUCUGCCUGGACAAGCCUGCUAUAACAUCUUCAUCAUAAAAUUCUGACAUUAUGGUUUUUCCUUGUGGGGAGGCAUUAUUUAUUUCUGCUUGACGGCGAAUGGCUGGGGUGGGGACAAGCCUUCUUCGGUGAGGAUUCUGUCCAGCCCCGUGACGACAUCUGCAUCUGUGGGUCUUGCAUGGGGCAGGAGACACAGCCGUGGAAGCAUGCAGACCCAAGCAAGGCAAGUGCGGCGGCUUUCAAGGAAGAUUUGCAAGAUCCAUUGCUUUCGAGGUCAAGAAACAAACAGCUGUUCAAAGACUUCCCAGCAGCCGUCUCUCCCUGAAAUCCUCACGGCAAGCAACUUGCCCAGGAUGAAGCCUGUGGCUGUCUCUAAGUGGCCUUUAAAAAGUUUAUUGCUAGACUGAGUGGCGGGAAUCACUUGAAUUUAGGCUUUUAAAAUAAAAGUUGGUUUAUGCA